AUGGUUAUCCUCUUCACCAGACUGGUCCCUCUGUUAGGUCCAGUGUCUCUGUUCCCCCCGUCCUCUGAGCAGUUCUCUUGGGGCUCGGCCACACUGGACUGCCUGCUGAGUGGCUACUCCUCCCAGGAGGCGAUGGUGAGCUGGGAGGUGAACAGAGUGGAGCUGAUGGAGGGGGUCCUGACCACCACAGAAGAAGAGAAGGGUGGUCGCUACAGCUGUAGCAGCACCCUGACCCUGAGCAAGGCACGCUGGGAAGAGGGAGAGAUGUACACCUGCAGGGUCGCCCAUGAUGACACCAGUUAUUCUGUCGUGUCUAGAGACUGGAGAGGAAAUUGUAGGGGGCAAGAGAGUCCCCACAUGGUGCUAGUUCUGGAAACAGUGUUUUAG
Non-coding RNA from Oncorhynchus masou masou (cherry salmon), 387 nucleotides. NCBI's taxonomy places the organism in Eukaryota, Metazoa, Chordata, Actinopteri, Salmoniformes, Salmonidae. The record is from the annotation of a RefSeq genome assembly.